GAUGAACGCUAGCGGCAGGCCUAACACAUGCAAGUCGAGGGAGAAGCCCUUUCGGGGGCAGAAACCGGCGCACGGGUGCGUAACGCGUAUGCAACCUACCUUUCACAGGGGGAUAGCCCGAAGAAAUUUGGAUUAAUACCCCAUCAUAUUAUUGGAUGGCAUCAUUUGAUAAUUAAAACUGCGGUGGUGAAAGAUGGGCAUGCGUCCUAUUAGCUAGUUGGAGUGGUAACGGCACCCCAAGGCUACGAUAGGUAGGGGUCCUGAGAGGGAGAUCCCCCACGCUGGUACUGAGGCAGGGACCAGACUCCUACGGGAGGCAGCAGUGAGGAAUAUUGGUCAAUGGUCGGAAGACUGAACCAGCCAUGCCGCGUGCAGGAAGAAUGCCUUAUGGGUUGUAAACUGCUUUUAUAUGGGAAGAAUAAGGCGUACGUGUACGUUGAUGACGGUACCAUAUGAAUAAGCAUCGGCUAACUCCGUG
RNAcentral lists this ribosomal RNA (478 nucleotides) under uncultured bacterium. RNAcentral's name for it is "partial 16S ribosomal RNA". It matches the Rfam family "Bacterial small subunit ribosomal RNA", at positions 28 to 507 of the family's 1533-position model. The record is from RNAcentral.